GGGAUAUUGCACAAUGGGGGAAACCCUGAUGCAGCGACGCCGCGUGAGUGAUGAAGUAUUUCGGUAUGUAAAGCUCUAUCAGCAGGGAAGAAAAUGACGGUACCUGACUAAGAAGCCCCGGCUAACUACGUGCCAGCAGCCGCGGUAAUACGUAGGGGGCAAGCGUUAUCCGGAUUUACUGGGUGUAAAGGGAGCGUAGACGGCGAGUCAAGUCUGAUGUGAAAGGUGAGGGCUCAACCCUUAAACUGCAUUGGAAACUGGUUUGCUAGAGUAUCGGAGAGGUAAGUGGAAUUCCUAGUGUAGCGGUGAAAUGCGUAGAUAUUAGGAGGAACACCAGUGGCGAAGGCGGCUUACUGGACGAUUACUGACGUUGAGGCUCGAAAGCGUGGGGAGCAAACA
This 399-nucleotide ribosomal RNA is filed under the name uncultured bacterium. Its description in RNAcentral is "bacterial SSU rRNA". It matches the Rfam family "Bacterial small subunit ribosomal RNA", at positions 358 to 774 of the family's 1533-position model. The record is from RNAcentral.